AUGGAUCUGGAGAGCAGCGAGCUCGCUUCUUUCAACAGGAAAAGAGGUGGAGACAGCAACGAGGCAGAGGAGCCCAUCAUGGCGAUAGCGGCAGCGGCCGAACAGAUUUUGAUUGCGGCGCCUCCAGAUCCAUCCGCAAUGACGUCCGUCUCCAUCUGCCUGGAUCAGAGGUAUGUUAUAAUCUGGCAUCCUCUUUUGUCUUCCUUUCCAUCUCCUCGUAUACACUAUGGAUCUCAAACUCAGCGACCUAGCUUCUUUCAACAGUUAAAUAGGUGGAGACACCACCGAGGCAGAGGAUUCCAUCAGCGCCGGGGUGAGAUGCGGAUGGGAGACGAGGGGCGGCUGAUAAGACAGAACAGAGGGGAGUCAGAUGCGCUAGGACCCACAAGUACUAGCAUACAGGGCUAUACCUAG
Molecule: ribosomal RNA, 414 nt
Filed under: Triticum aestivum (bread wheat)
Lineage: Eukaryota; Viridiplantae; Streptophyta; Magnoliopsida; Poales; Poaceae
Description: partial small subunit ribosomal RNA
Source: RNAcentral